This 89-nucleotide transfer RNA is filed under the name Nitrospirota bacterium. Its description in RNAcentral is "Nitrospirae bacterium (groundwater metagenome) tRNA-Ser". It matches the Rfam family "tRNA". From Rfam's summary of the family: Transfer RNA (tRNA) molecules are approximately 80 nucleotides in length. Their secondary structure includes four short double-helical elements and three loops (D, anti-codon, and T loops). The record is from RNAcentral. Lineage: Bacteria; Pseudomonadati; Nitrospirota.
GGAGAGGUGGCCGAGCGGCUUAAGGCAACGGUUUGCUAAACCGUCGUGGGGGGUAACCUCUACCCAGGGUUCAAAUCCCUGCCUCUCCG